Molecule: unclassified non-coding RNA, 436 nt
Filed under: Hevea brasiliensis (rubber tree)
Lineage: Eukaryota; Viridiplantae; Streptophyta; Magnoliopsida; Malpighiales; Euphorbiaceae
Source: RNAcentral
AAAGGGUCCAUCAUGGCCACAAGAGCUCACGACCACCUUGGCCUCCAUCACAUUAGGGUCCAUGCAAGACUGUGUGUCAUGGUUCAUCGACACAAGAGCCCAGUUGGUGACCACGCCACCCACUCUUCCAUUCUUCACUAUCAGGUCCUCAGCAGCCACUGCGUUGAAAAGCUUAACAUUAGGGCGCGCCAGGAGCUUGCUCAUAAUUGUGGAUGUGAACAGGGCAGCGUGCUUGAUUACUACAUAGUUGUCUGCUUCAUCGUACUCGAUGCCUAGCUCAUCAAGGAAGAGAUGAGCAGGUUUGCGCACCACCAUGGCAGAGAAGAGCUGGCCACCUAGCCAAGCACCACCACCAGGGCUAACAGAUUGCUCAACAAUGGCAACUUUAACAGACGGGUUUUUGCUAAGCUCAUAAGCACAAGAAAGGCCAGCAGAG